UGCCAGCCGCCGCGGUAAGACAGAGGGUGCAAACGUUGUUCGGAAUUACUGGGCGUAAAGCGUGUGUAGGCGGCUUCAAAAGUCGGGUGUGAAAGCCCAGGGCUCAACCUUGGAAGUGCAUUCGAAACUGCGAGGCUAGAGUACCGGAGAGGUUGGCGGAAUUCUCGGUGUAGAGGUGAAAUUCGUAGAUAUCGAGAGGAACACCGGUGGCGAAGGCGGCCAACUGGACGGAUACUGACGCUGAGACACGAAAGCGUGGGGAGCAAACAGGAUUAGAUA
Molecule: ribosomal RNA, 279 nt
Filed under: uncultured bacterium
Lineage: Bacteria
Description: partial 16S ribosomal RNA
Rfam family: Bacterial small subunit ribosomal RNA
Source: RNAcentral